This 263-nucleotide ribosomal RNA is filed under the name uncultured bacterium. RNAcentral describes it as "partial 16S ribosomal RNA". It matches the Rfam family "Bacterial small subunit ribosomal RNA", at positions 92 to 353 of the family's 1533-position model. The record is from RNAcentral.
CGACCGGCGCACGGGUGAGUAACACGUAUCCAACCUGCCGUCUACUCUUGGACAGCCUUCUGAAAGGAGGAUUAAUACAAGAUGGCAUCAUGAGUCCGCAUGUUCACAUGAUUAAAGGUAUUCCGGUAGACGAUGGGGAUGCGUUCCAUUAGAUAGUAGGCGGGGUAACGGCCCACCUAGUCUUCGAUGGGUAGGGGUUCUGAGAGGAAGGUCCCCCACAUUGGAACUGAGACACGGUCCAAACUCCUACGGGAGGCAGCAUG